This 464-nucleotide RNase P RNA is filed under the name Hymenobacter sedentarius. Its description in RNAcentral is "Bacterial RNase P class A". It matches the Rfam family "Bacterial RNase P class A". From Rfam's summary of the family: Ribonuclease P (RNase P) is a ubiquitous endoribonuclease, found in archaea, bacteria and eukarya as well as chloroplasts and mitochondria. Its best characterised activity is the generation of mature 5'-ends of tRNAs by cleaving the 5'-leader elements of precursor-tRNAs. Cellular RNase Ps are ribonucleoproteins. The record is from Rfam by way of RNAcentral. Lineage: Bacteria; Pseudomonadati; Bacteroidota; Cytophagia; Cytophagales; Hymenobacteraceae.
GUGAUGGGUCGCCCCACCGCGGCGCCAAACGCAAGAAUGGCGACGAGGAAAGUCCGGGCAACGCAGAGCACCCUGCUUCCUAACGGGAAGGACUGGCGCGUAUAAUGCAAACCAGGACAGCCAGUGCCACAGAAAACUACCGCCAGACGGUGACUGCGCGACAGAGUAGCUGAGCGAAUAAAAUCACUCAGUCAUUCAGCCACUCAGUCACUCGUGGUAAGGGUGAAAAGGUGCGGUAAGAGCGCACCAGUGGGCGGGUAACCGUCCCGGCUGGGUAAACCUCAGGGGUUGAAAGACCAAAUAAGCUGGUACGCCGGCGCGGCUUCGGCCGCAUCGGCACCGGGCGGCUCGUCCGGCGCCAGCGGGUAGGUUGAUGGAGCCUUUCCGCAAGGACUGGCCUAGAUAAAUGGUGGGGACGCGCCCUCGGGCGCGGACAAAACCCGGCUUAUAGACCCGUCACCAAU